This is a long non-coding RNA of Myodes glareolus (Bank vole), 489 nucleotides long. RefSeq lists it as uncharacterized. NCBI's taxonomy places the organism in Eukaryota, Metazoa, Chordata, Mammalia, Rodentia, Cricetidae. The record is from RefSeq and is a predicted model, not a curated record.
ACCACAUCAUCAGCCACUCUGGCGGAAACACAUUAGUGAGCAAGGUGACAGAGGCUCCCCCAAAAGCCCCAGGAGAGGAAGAAACAGGGGCGUGGUCUUACAAUUUGGUUGGUGAUUACGGAUCCUUAAAGCCCCAGCUAGUGCUGUCUCAAGAAUAUCAGUUUUCACCAUCAACACCAGUGCCUGUCUACGGCUCUCAAGGACUUCUCAGUCUGCAAGAAAUGUCACUCUCCAGCCUCAACCUCUUUCGAUAACUGCUCCUCCCUCCAAAAUGCUGCUCAAGCCUUUUAUGACUUACUGUUCUAUGACCCUACAUAGGUUAAGCAAAACCAGCCAGAGUACCCCCAAAGCCUCUCUCCACCGUGUAGCUGCCCAGAAGAACAGAGUUUCAUCUCUGUCAUUGAUUUGACAUUGCUGACCUGGGGGGAGAUGGGUCUAGAAACCAAAAGGCCAAAAAAAUAAAAGCAAAAGGCCUGACUCCAGCAGACA